UGGGGAAUUUUGGACAAUGGGGGAAACCCUGAGCCAGCCAUCCCGCGUGUGCGAUGAAGGCCUUCGGGUUGUAAAGCACUUUUGGCAGGAAAGAAACGUCAUGGGUUAAUACCCCGUGAAACUGACGGUACCUGCAGAAUAAGCACCGGCUAACUACGUGCCAGCAGCCGCGGUAAUACGUAGGGUGCAAGCGUUAAUCGGAAUUACUGGGCGUAAAGCGUGCGCAGGCGGUUCGGAAAGAAAGAUGUGAAAUCCCAGAGCUCAACUUUGGAACUGCAUUUUUAACUACCGGGCUAGAGUGUGUCAGAGGGAGGUGGAAUUCCGCGUGUAGCAGUGAAAUGCGUAGAUAUGCGGAGGAACACCGAUGGCGAAGGCAGCCUCCUGGGAUAACACUGACGCUCAUGCACGAAAGCGUGGGGAGCAAACAGG
This 429-nucleotide ribosomal RNA is filed under the name Acidobacteriota bacterium. RNAcentral's name for it is "Acidobacteria bacterium partial 16S ribosomal RNA". It matches the Rfam family "Bacterial small subunit ribosomal RNA", at positions 355 to 776 of the family's 1533-position model. The record is from RNAcentral. Lineage: Bacteria; Pseudomonadati; Acidobacteriota.